Molecule: long non-coding RNA, 3189 nt
Organism: Pseudopipra pipra
Lineage: Eukaryota; Metazoa; Chordata; Aves; Passeriformes; Pipridae
Exons: 2
Source: RefSeq, a predicted model, not a curated record
ACUUUAGAUCCAUAACUUACAGGCUUUCUGUCAUGGGUAAAAGGGCUGCUCUUCACUUUUUUCUGUCCCGCGCUUCAAGUGCCUGUCCCACCUCCCCAGAAUGGAAGACAAAUGAAGAUUCCUUUCAGAGAAAAGGUGCCACUACAGAAAGCUCUUGCUGCACGUGUAAUGCCCAGGCUGGCUGGCAGAUUUUACCAGAAAGCCAAAGCUUCCAUUAUUUCCAUGUGGGAAAUAAGGGCUUAUUUUGGCUUUUUUCAGCCCUGUGAUGAAAUGGCCAGCUCACUGCUGAAAUUCCAUAGGAAUGAAGAUUUCUCCCAGUGAAAAGGUACCAGAACAGAAAAGUCUUGCUGCCCGCAGAGUGCCCAGACUGGCCCACCAACUGCACCAAAAAGCCAAGGUUUCCAGGCUAUUUUUGCUCGAAUAAGGACUGUUGUUUUCUUUUUGCAGUCCUGUGCUCAAACUGCCAGCCCAACUUACAAAAUUGCAAAGAGACGAAGAUUCCUUCCAGACCAAGGUGCCAGGAUAGAAAGCUCUUGCUGCCCACCUAGUGCCCAGGCUGGCCCACAACUUGCACCUCAAAGCUAAAGGUUCCAUGCUUUCUUUGCAGAGGAUAAAGGCUGUUGUUUGCUUUUUUCAGCCCUGUGCUGCAACUGCCAUCCCAACUGCCAAAAUUGCAUAAGGUCGAAGAUUACUCCCAAGAACAAAGGUCCCCUCCCAGAAAGCUUUUGCUGUCCACAUAGUGCCGAGAGUUGUGCACCAACUGCACACUAGAGAUGGAGGGUCAGGGCUUUCUUUCCUGAGUGGAAGGGCAAUCAUUAGGGUUAUAGUUAGGGUUAGGUCUAGGGUCAGGAUUAGGUUUACAGUUAGAGUUUUGAAUUCAGGUUAAGUUUAGGGUGAAGUUUAGAGUUAGUUAUGAUUACGGUCAGGGUUAGAGUUAGGGAUAGGAUUAGGUUUAGAGUUAGUUUGUUUCAAAGUUAGUAAGGAUUAGGGUUAGGUUUAGAGUUAGGGUUAGGGUUACAGUUAGGGUUUUGUGUUAGGGUUCAUCUUAGGGACACUUAUGGUUAGGGUAAGGAUUGGGGUUUAGGGUUUGGGUUAUGGUUAGGUUUAGGGUUAGGGUUACAGAUAGGGAUACAGUUAGGGAUUGGGUUAGGAUUAGGCUGUCCGAUUGCCAAAAUAUCUAUGCCCUCCAAAGUUAACAUCCAAAGGAAAACUGGACCUUUCUGUAUCCUUCAGAUUUGUGAUACAUAACUUACCUGCGUACUGUCUUCCAUAAAUACUGCUAAUUUCUAACGCUCUGGUGUAUCUACUGUUCUUCUGUGCUAGUUUCCUCUGAUCGGGCAAUGCAUUUUUUUCUCUCAGAAACUAAACACCAUUAUUCUUGGGAAAAUGAACUAAAAAUAAAAAUAAGGCUUUGAGAUAUUAAUAUUCAUUCCAACAACAACACUUAACCACAUGACAAUGCUCACAGCUCUUUUCAGCCAUCUCUCUCUGCAGGAAUACUGUGCAAAUGAAGAGUAGUUAAUCCAGUUGAAGAGACCUCAGCACUGCAAGAGGAUUUUGGAUUUCAGAAAGAACAGGAAGCAGCUCCAAAGCAUCUCAGGCUUGGCAGGCCCUUAAGUUAACUGUGGAAACUGCACCAUGAAUUUGGUCUUCAGGUGACAGGUAAACCAAGCUGGCCUUGGCAUCAGCAGGCAACAGGGAGAUGAAAAAGACCUAAAGAAGGGUUAGGUUAAAGGCAUCCUCAUGAGUCCAAGGCUUCAAUCGCCCGCUCUUGACACAGAGAAGAAAACAGCUUGCAGCAGACCUUGGGAAAUGAGCCCUGGCGGCCAGCAAGUGUAGAUCAGAGCCAGUGCAAGGACACGUGUCUCUCCAGUGAGCAGAAUGGGAGCCCAGGUAAAGAAACAGCUUGCUGCAAUUGCUUUGCCCAGCCAAAGCAGCAAAUCUGACUGCAGAUCAGAGAGGGGAUCUGGGAUGCCACCAGAAGCAGAUCAAGGCUGCCCCUAAAGCAGCAAGUUAGGAGCUGUCAGCCACAGCAACAGCCUUUUGAGUCAAACAGCUGACUGCUCUUGCACAGCAGCUUCUGUUCUUGCAUGAUGCUGGUUGUCGCUUCCCUAUUGCUUUGUAGAGAAGAAAGGUCCAUCCUCACAGAACGUGCUCUACUCGGGCAAAGAGGGGAUGGUAGAAAGCAAUAAAGUCAUCAGCUUGUUUUAGGAUAAAACCAAAAAGUGUCAUGAAAAAGCCAAUUGCUCAUCAGUGUUUUGAAAGGUAACUACUCCAUAUGGGUGUGACUUAAAAAAGAGUAAGAAAGAGCAAAAGGUAAGAAAGAAGAGAAGGUAAGAAAAGCCAAAAGGAGAGAUGAGAACUUCAGGGAAAGGGCAUCUCUUCAGUUUGUUGCGAGAAGAAAUCCAAUCAGCUUUCUCCAGACUUUCAAAGCAGCAGGCGCCCGGCCCUCUCCUCUGCGUUCCUCCUGGCCCUCUCUCCAGCACGCUGCCUCACGUCCGACGACGACGACGUCUGCGUGCAGCAGGCAACGGGGGCUUGCCCAGCGGCUUCAGAGCAGGCAGAUGGCCCAACAGCCUGCCGCCCCUUCCACUCAGCCCCCUCCGGCACCGCCGACCAGGAUCCCCCCACUCACAGGCCCAGCCCCGUGUGGCCACUCUGCCCCAGCCCGCAGCAGGACUUCCCCCUCUCCUCCACGCAUCCCUCCCACCCCAGGCAGCGCCCUUCUCCUUCGCCCCACCCCACGCACGCCAGCCCCAGCAACUAAAAGCCUUGGGUCUUCAGGAGGCUUUCUUGCCCCCAAAUCAAGGACUACAGCCUGACCAAAAGAACCACCAGCGCUGCUUGUGGAUCAAACCACUAGUUUUAUUUCAAGAAAGGCAUCUAGAUAUUCUGUUGUCCUUUAGCAGCGGCCCAGCCCCGCAAGACACCUCUUCCAAGAACUCCUCCUUCUAAAAGGGAGGGCAGCAACACACGAACUUCGGGAGAUCCUGAAAAACUAACUUCUACUUCCAAGAAAGGAAGACCCACUCGCUGGCUGUUCCCCAGCUCUGCUUACAGACGUCCCUGGGCUGCCUUCAGCCUCCAGGACAGCUCUAUUGCACACACCCGCACCAAGGGACACAGCUCAGCUGCCUAAGGAACAAGUCCUAGCCCAACCCCCAAAUAUUAUUCGCUUUCAAAACACAA